AUGGCUGUUGAAAAACUGUCUAGGUGAUGUAGGGAUUAAAGGAAGUAAAAUAUUCCAUCUUGACCCCCAAUGAACUAUCAAGAAAGGAGAAAAACAUGUUUGUUUUGGAUCAAAUGUUAUGUGCUGGCUUCUGUAGCAAAACAAAUGGAAAGGAAAGUUUAUGACUUUUAGAAUCAAGAAAUUUGCAAAGGAUCAUUCAUUUUAGUUUACGGCAUCGGAUCCAAGUUCUUUAAAAACAUUGUUUCACAUAUUGACCAAAACGGAUUCCUUCCAAGAAUACCUCAAACAAGAAUGGGCGUCCAAGUAAUGCAUCCAGCUCUGAACAACCGAACGAUACAGUUGCCUUUAAACGGAACAAUGUGGGAGAGUUUGGGCAAUUUAGCCAAAUGGCAAUCGACUUAUGUAAAACGUGUUUGGUUUACUCGUAACCUUUAAACACCUGACAGUUGUAAACUCAGACUGUUUUGGAAUACUUCAUAGCUUAAUUUAUAAACAGGAAGCUCUUCGUCAAGAACGUUCAGAUUAUAGAUUCAGAGAAAAAGAGAAUAGUUCUAUACGUGAAGUUCACCAUCAGACCUGUGCAUUUGAGUAACAGGAAAGUUAAUGGUAGACAUUAUUUCUCCUGGUGAAUUUACUUUAUUUCCCUUCUAAAGUUUCCAGAACUGCUUCUAGACACAAAUACUGGGGAUGGGACUGUUGUAACAGAAUUAAACACAUAUAAUGCUGAAUUGAACGAUCCUGAUACACUAAUUAUCUUCAACAAUUAUACACGUACAUUCAAUAUCAUGAUUAUCAUUUUCUGUGUUUGUAUUGCCUUCUUAUCACAUAACUGACCUCCAGAAAAUAAAUCGCUUUGUAAUUGAAUGUCUAGGUAAAGGAACACUCACUACCAAUUUUAGAUUUCCAUGGUUUUGACUUGACCAUCAGGAUGGAGAAUCGAACCUGAAACUUUCAAGUCGUGAAGCGACCACUUUAUCGACAAUGUUGCUGGGAUAUUAUUGAAUAUACUGAAUUUUAAACUAUUGUGUGUACAUGCAUAUUUGAAACGUUGUUUCAGAAUUCCAUUCUGGUUCUACACCAAACAUAUGUGGAUCGCCUUGUGUCACGUGUAACCAUGGCAUUCACGUGUGUAUGUAUUGUGCAGCGCAUCAACAUUUACACACAAUGACAUGUCGAUACAAAUGUAGCGAGAUUUGCUCUAGUGAUGACUGUUUUGGCAUAGAAGAUAACUGUACCAGCGACAUUACGAAGGAAAACGAAUUCAACAAUUACAGUAAGAUUUCUAUUUUAAAAAGUAUGAAGACAUAUAUUUCAAAAUCAUUACUUUUUUUUUUUUUUUUUUUUUUGCCGCAACAGAUAUAUCGAUACAUGUCAAUACGAGUCAAUCAUAUUGUAUAGCGCCUCAGUUUCAAUGUCUUUCAUUGUUUUGCCAUGGACCAAAUUCUUGAGAAAUAGAAUGUUACAGUUAGAUUUAGAGAUAUAACAUUUUCAUAGAACUUAGAAGUAGAAAAUAUCUAAUGAUGGGUUUCACAAUUUCAUGUUUUAUAUUUUCAGCUAUUUUGAUAAUUGAUUACACAACUUUAAUACUCAGAAAGUGUCACAAGGUUCAAUUCAAUGCCCGGUUCGAAUUAUCAUAUAUGUAAGAUGCAAGAUGUCCAAUUUCAUCAUGGUUUGGAUUGGAAAAAAAUGUUUAUUUUCAAGUUUCUAUAGUUUGCAGUAUUUACAUUUAAAUGAUGGCUCCUCUCUUCUAUCCAGAGGAUUUUUGUCACCAUAUCCAAAGAUGUUCAGAGUUGAAUUAGGAGGAAAUAAUAGAAUGACGUUCGAAUAUACACGUAUGAAAAUGAUACAUGUCGAGUGUAUAACAGUAGUAUUCCACUGUUUUAUAUAUCUUUGGUUUAUCAUGAUAUCUACAAUGUGCUGUUUCCUAUUGAUGCAGAUUUUUUUUUUUUUACAAAAUGCACCGCGAUAAUUUUGCCUGCAAUUUCCUGACUUAAAAGAACGGUAAGAAUCCUAAAAAGAAGGUAUGUAAACAUUUUCUACAAAUACUUCAUGUUUUCGAAAAAAGUAUAAAUAACCUGUUUUCUAUAUUAGUAAUCUAAAGGAUAAGAUAUUAAACUAUAUGAUACUCUAAAAUAUCUAACAUCGUACCAUAUAAAAACAAUAAUUCUACAUUUUUGUAUAAUAGUAGGUAAUAACCUUUUUAAAGAUGAUUACAUUAUCAUUGUAUGAAUUGUAUGAUCAUGUCAAUAUAUAUACCGUGUUUCAAGUAUCAUUUAAAAGAUUCACGAUUUUCAUUUCGAAUGUAAAUAGUUCGGCAAAGGAACAGUCGUUAUAUUUUCACAUCUCGCUUUAGGGGCAGACGAGAUUCAAACUCACUACCCUGCCAUUACGACACAAGAUUGACUGGAUACAAUAUUGCAAUGAACUGACAAGAGUUCCUGUCACACUGAACACAAGAUCAUCGUACAUGUGAUCCCGUGUGGAUCCUGGUUAGAAUAGGUCCUCAGUACCCCCUUGCCUGUCGUAAGAGGCGACUAAAUGGGGCUGUCCUUCGGAUGAGACCGCAAACACUAAGGUCCCGUGUCACAGCAGGUGUAGCACGAUAAAGAUCCCUCCC
Molecule: long non-coding RNA, 2617 nt
Organism: Ostrea edulis (European flat oyster)
Lineage: Eukaryota; Metazoa; Mollusca; Bivalvia; Ostreida; Ostreidae
Exons: 2
Source: RefSeq, a predicted model, not a curated record